CCUCGGCCCGCAGCCCUGCUCCGCCAGGGCGGGCGCUUCCGGCUCCGGGUCUCCACCACUUCCGCUCCAGCGUCUGCGCGCAGAGCCCACAAUUGGAACCAGAGGAAGAAAAUGCCUCCUUCAAGUGGAGAACACUCUCUUCAGCCUACUUUCCAUCCCAUUUUCACAGUGACAGAUGGAUACUGAAUUGGCUGUCUGACUAAACACAUAAAAAUAAGAAAAAAUACCAAAUUUUUAAAUAACCAAGAUCUGAUUCAGGAGACUUGCUUGAAUUGCUUACACAGACACAAUGUUCAGAUUCACAAAACUACUUGCACAAAGUGAGGACCAAGUAAGCUCCUUGGAAUGCAAGAAGGAACCUGUCAAACACGGGCGGACUGGGAAGAAAUAUGGGAGAGGCCACCUUGUUACCGCUUA
Talpa occidentalis (Iberian mole) is the source of this 417-nucleotide long non-coding RNA. RefSeq lists it as uncharacterized. The transcript is spliced from 3 exons. NCBI's taxonomy places the organism in Eukaryota, Metazoa, Chordata, Mammalia, Eulipotyphla, Talpidae. The record is from RefSeq and is a predicted model, not a curated record.